Molecule: ribosomal RNA, 393 nt
Filed under: uncultured bacterium
Lineage: Bacteria
Description: partial 16S ribosomal RNA
Rfam family: Bacterial small subunit ribosomal RNA
Source: RNAcentral
AUACGAGGGGUUCAAGCGUUGUUCGGAAUUACUGGGCGUAAAGGGAGCGUAGGCGGAGAUUCAAGCGGAUUGUACAAUCCCGGGGCCCAACCCCGGCUCUGCAGUCCGAACUGGAUCUCUUGGAUAGUUCAGGGGCAGGCGGAAUUCCUGGUGUAGCGGUGGAAUGCGUAGAGAUCAGGAAGAACACCGAUGGCGAAGGCAGCCUGCUGGGGACUUAUCGACGCUGAGGCUCGAAAGUGCGGGUAGCAAACAGGAUUAGAUACCCUGGUAGUCCGCACCGUAAACGAUGCAUACUGGGUGUCCGGGGGUUCCCCCGGGUACCGUAGCCAACGCGUUAAGUAUGCCGCCUGGGGAGUACGUACGCAAGUAUGAAACUCAAAUGAAUUGACGGGG